Long non-coding RNA from Artibeus jamaicensis (Jamaican fruit-eating bat), 971 nucleotides. RefSeq lists it as uncharacterized. NCBI's taxonomy places the organism in Eukaryota, Metazoa, Chordata, Mammalia, Chiroptera, Phyllostomidae. The record is from RefSeq and is a predicted model, not a curated record. The transcript is spliced from 3 exons.
AAGUAGAGUCAGUAAUCAGCAGUGACAACAGAUGAGGCCCUGCACUAUGGUUGCCAAGAAGAAAACAAAACAGCACAAUACAGCAUUUCCUGUCAAGAUGGAGGCAUAUGUAGACACACUUUGCCUCCUCGCACAACCAUAGAAAGAAUUACAACCAGAUCUCAAAAACAAAAAAACACCCAGAACCAUCAGAAAAUUGAGCUGUAUAGAAGUCUGACAACCAAGGAUUUACAGAAGCCACAUUCAUCCAGACAGUUAUGGAACACUCAAGUGGCAUUUUGGCUGGAACCAACAGUGACGGAUGUGACGACUAUGGAACUUUGCUGUCCUCCCUUCCAGGGAACAACAGGUCUGUGUGAGAAGGGCACUUGCCCGGCGCUGGGGGAAGCAGAAAGGUUUCGAGUGGUAUGGAAAUUCGGAUUCGGCACAAAGGUUCUGGCCAGUUUCCCAGAUGACCCCCAGUGAUCCAUUCCAGUCCUGGUAUUAGUGGCCAUGUCUGCUCUUCCACUGAACCAGCUGGCCAGUGUGACCAGUGGAAUAUGGUGAAAGUGAUGCUGUGGACCCGAGCCUGGGUCAUAAAGGGCAGUGGCCAUGUGCAUGAGCCACAUCAAAGGGCCUUUGCCACUCCCUCAAAGGACCGAAGCCCCAGGCAAUAUCUGACCACAACCUCGGGAGAGACCCCAGACCAGAGCCACCCAACCAACCUCAAGAGAAACCUCAAACAAGAACCACCCACCAAUCUCAGGACACACUCCAAACCAGAACCAUGCACCCAACCUCAAGAGAGAUCCCAGGCCAAAACCACCCGCUCACCCACCCACGCUGCUCCCAAAUUCUGGACAGACAUCAAGAGCCAUGUGCGAUCACUGUUAUUUUAAGCCACCAGGGUUAAAGGGUGAGUAGUUGUAUUACAUCGGAUAACUACUGUCACCUCUUCUUUCCCUAAAUGCAGCCAAAGGUGGCUGCAGUUC